RNAcentral lists this ribosomal RNA (487 nucleotides) under uncultured bacterium. Its description in RNAcentral is "bacterial SSU rRNA". It matches the Rfam family "Bacterial small subunit ribosomal RNA", at positions 338 to 844 of the family's 1533-position model. The record is from RNAcentral.
CCUACGGGAGGCAGCAGUGGGGAAUCUUGCGCAAUGGGCGAAAGCCUGACGCAGCCAUGCCGCGUGAAUGAUGAAGGUCUUAGGAUUGUAAAAUUCUUUCAGUAGGGACGAUAAUGACGGUACCUACAGAAGAAGCCCCGGCUAACUUCGUGCCAGCAGCCGCGGUAAUACGAAGGGGGCUAGCGUUGCUCGGAAUUACUGGGCGUAAAGGGAGCGUAGGCGGGUUAUCAAGUUGGAGGUGAAAGCCCAGGGCUCAACCUUGGAAUUGCCUUCAAAACUGAUAGCCUAGAGUAUGAUAGAGGUAAGUGGAACUCCGAGUGUAGAGGUGAAAUUCGUAGAUAUUCGGAAGAACACCAGUGGCGAAGGCGACUUACUGGAUCAUGACUGACGCUGAGGCUCGAAAGCGUGGGGAGCAAACAGGAUUAGAUACCCUGGUAGUCCACGCUGUAAACGAUGAUUGNUAGUGUCGGUACGGCGAUGCGUCGGU